Molecule: ribosomal RNA, 119 nt
Filed under: Pteropus alecto (black flying fox)
Lineage: Eukaryota; Metazoa; Chordata; Mammalia; Chiroptera; Pteropodidae
Source: RNAcentral
GUCUACGGCCAUGCCACUCUGAACAAGCCCGAUCCCGUCUGAUUUCAAAAGCUAAGCAGGAUUGGGCCUGGUUAGUACUUGGAUGGGAGACCACCUAGGAAGACCAGAUGCUGUAGGCG